UACGUAGGGUGCAAGCGUUGUUCGGAAUUACUGGGCGUAAAGCGUGCGUAGGUGGUUUGUUAAGUCUGGUGUGAAAGCCCUGGGCUCAACCUGGGAACGGCAUUGGAAACUGGCUUACUAGAGUGCGGUAGAGGGGAGUGGAAUUCCCGGUGUAGCAGUGAAAUGCGUAGAUAUCGGGAGGAACAUCUGUGGCGAAGGCGACUCCCUGGACCAGCACUGACGCUGAGGCACGAAAGCGUGGGGAGCAAACAGG
This 253-nucleotide ribosomal RNA is filed under the name uncultured bacterium. RNAcentral describes it as "partial 16S ribosomal RNA". It matches the Rfam family "Bacterial small subunit ribosomal RNA", at positions 524 to 776 of the family's 1533-position model. The record is from RNAcentral.